AGUGAACGCUGGCGGUAGGCCUAACACAUGCGAGUCGAACGGCAGCACAGUAAGAGCUUGCUCUUACGGGUGGCGAGUGGCGGACGGGUGAGGAAUGCAUCGGAAUCUACUUUUUCGUGGGGGAUAACGUAGGGAAACUUACGCUAAUACCGCAUACGACCUACGGGUGAAAGCAGGGGAUCUUCGGACCUUGCGCGAUUGAAUGAGCCGAUGUCGGAUUAGCUAGUUGGCGGGGUAAAGGCCCACCAAGGCGACGAUCCGUAGCUGGUCUGAGAGGAUGAUCAGCCACACUGGAACUGAGACACGGUCCAGACUCCUACGGGAGGCAGCAGUGGGGAAUAUCGGACAAUGGGCGCAAGCCUGAUCCAGCCAUACCGCGUGGGUGAAGAAGGCCUUCGGGUUGUAAAGCCCUUUUGUUGGGAAAGAAAAGCAGCAGGUUAAUACCCCGCUGUUCUGACGGUACCCAAAGAAUAAGCACCGGCUAACUUCGUG
Molecule: ribosomal RNA, 492 nt
Filed under: uncultured bacterium
Lineage: Bacteria
Description: partial 16S ribosomal RNA
Rfam family: Bacterial small subunit ribosomal RNA
Source: RNAcentral